AUAAAGCAGAUAUUUACAUUUCCACUGGGCAACGCACCGCAGGCCCCACCAAAGAGAAACAAACAGUCCCAGAGGCCCGCGCCAGAGAGUUCCUCUCCCCGCCCAGGACCCCUCUUUCCUCUUCUUGGGUCCCCCAGGAACUGGUGACGCUAGAGCCCCCGCCCUUACCCCGCCCAGUACCUGGUGUGAGCAAAACCCCUUCUCCACCCAUUCCUGGCUCCAUCUUUGGUGAUUCAGAGCCCUGGUCCCGCCCAAGGCACUAAUUUAACUCGGGCUGCGUAACUACCAGGAGCUUCUUCUCUAUCGAGCCUCUUGGCCCGGUUCAUUUCGUCUUAAUCGCGGAGGUCGCAGAGUCCGGGAGCCGCUCGGGGUCCCCGUUCCCGCGCGCCAUGAGUCCCCUGCCGCGGAGCGCCCCCGCGGUGAGGCGCCUAAUGGGCGGACAGACGCCGCCGCCGCUGCUGCUGCUGCUGCUGCUGCUGUGUAUCCCGGCUGCGCAGGGUGACUGCAGCCUUCCACCCGAUGUACCUAAUGCCCAACCAGAUUUGCGAGGUCUUGCAAGUUUUCCUGAACAAACCACAAUAACAUACAAAUGUAACAAAGGCUUUGUCAAAGUUCCUGGCAUGGCAGACUCAGUGCUCUGUCUUAAUGAUAAAUGGUCAGAAGUUGCAGAAUUUUGUAAUCGUAGCUGUGAUGUUCCAACCAGGCUACAUUUUGCAUCUCUUAAAAAGUCUUACAGCAAACAGAAUUAUUUCCCAGAGGGUUUCACCGUGGAAUAUGAGUGCCGUAAGGGCUAUAAAAGGGAUCUUACUCUAUCAGAAAAACUAACUUGCCUUCAGAAUUUUACGUGGUCCAAACCUGAUGAAUUUUGCAAAAAAAAACAAUGUCCGACUCCUGGAGAACUAAAAAAUGGUCAUGUCAAUAUAACAACUGACUUGUUAUUUGGCGCAUCCAUCUUUUUCUCAUGUAACGCAGGGUACAGACUAGUUGGUGCAACUUCUAGUUACUGUUUUGCCAUAGCAAAUGAUGUUGAGUGGAGUGAUCCAUUGCCAGAAUGCCAAGAAAUUUCUCCAACUGUCAAAGCCAUACCAGCUGUUGAGAAACCCAUCACAGUAAAUUUUCCAGGUACCAAAGCCCUAUCAUCUCCUCAGAAACCCUCCACAGCAAAUACUCUAGCUACAGAGUUACUACCAACUCCUCAGGAACCCACCACAGUAAAUGUUCCAGAUAGUAAAGCCAUAUCAUCUCCUCAGAAACCCUCCACAGUAAAUACUCCAGCUACAGACUUACUACCAACUCCUCAGGAACCCACCACAGUAAAUGUUCCAGAUAGUAAAGCCAUAUCAUCUCCUCAGAAACCCUCCACAGUAAAUACUCCAGCUACAGACUUACUACCAACUCCUCAGGAACCCACCACAGUAAAUGUUCCAGAUAGUAAAGCCAUAUCAUCUCCUCAGAAACCCUCCACAGUAAAUACUCCAGCUACAGACUUACUACCAACUCCUCAGGAACCCACCACAGUAAAUGUUCCAGAUAGUAAAGCCAUAUCAUCUCCUCAGAAACCCUCCACAGUAAAUACUCCAGCUACAGACUUACUACCAACUCCUCAGGAACCCACCACAGUAAAUGUUCCAGCUCCAGAAGUCCCAUCAACUUCUCAGAAACCUUCCACAGCAAAUGAUUCUGCCACACGAGCCCCCAGUUCCCCCAUAUCAAACACUCUCUCUACAGCAGCCCAGAAUCCCAUCAUGGCAAAUGCUUCUGCACCACAGGCCACAUCAACAACCCAAAGAUUCACCACAGCAAAAGCUUCACUGACACAGACUCUUCGAGAAACAGGAAAGUCCACUCCUGUACAUACCUCAAAAACUAAAGGUCUACAGCAAAGAUUGACUUCUGCUCAUGUUACAGCAACAAAGUAUCCAGCUAUUCCCAGGGCCACAACGAGUUUUCAUUCAAGUACAUCUAAAAAUCGAGGAAACCCUUCUUCAGGCAUGAGAAUCAUGUCGUCUGGUAAGUUUGGCUCUCCGGCAGUUAAAAGAAAUUGUCUUCUCUGUAGGAAGUACCAUCCAUAUUCCUGGAAAAGAAUAUUGCUUUUUAACUGUCUUAGGAAUACUAUUAAAAUGCAUUGUUUAUGGGUGCCAAAGAGAAAAUGGAUAAAUGCCUUGUAUCGACGUGUUUUGUGGACACCAUUUGGUACUCGGUAUGUGGUAUGUUCCUAAGUAUUCCCAACCAUGUUCUUCUUCCAAGGUAAUUCUAGGAAACUUCACUUGGCCAAUCAGUCAAGUAUUAUUGCAUGCCUUUUGUCGCAAUAGAUCAUUCUGGUGGCUGAAGUUUCUACUCUGAAGUAUUUUAUAAUUAAUCAUAAACUACUCCUUGACCAUUUCUAGAUUUCUGUGCUAUUCCAGGUAAAACAAAGGGCACUACUUUUGAUUAUAUCCUCUUCCUUUAGCCUCCCCUGUCAGUGGUUUAAAUUUAUCUUGAAAAAAUAUUCCAUCGCUGUCAACAUACCUGUGUUGCAAUUCCUUCUAGCAUUUGACGCAGUCCUUUUUUGUUCGUAAAUACAUUAUUUGAUGUUAUGCAUUAACGAGAAGAUUAAUAAACCCCUAAAGUAGAAUGGUAAAAGAAAUGUUUGUUAAGAAGCAAUACAGCUAACGCGGCAUGUUGAUAAGUAAUGUCUAAUAGAAAAUACACUUAUAAAAAGUGUAUAUGUUCGACUUAUGUAUUUAUAAGCGGAAGCCUCCUAUCGUAUGCAUGUAUGAAUAUAAAACUGAAAGCAGGUACUUGUUUUUUAUUUUUAUUAUUUUUUAUUAUAGUUUUUAUAUUUUAAAUGAACCUCUUUUAAGUUAAAAGAUUUAUCUUGAAAGAUUCCAAUAGUUGGAGUUCACUUUGUUCAUUCUACAUUUUAAAUAAAAAUAAAUGUAUUCUAAAUGAAAACCUCAUGAGUUAAUGUUUUAAUGUUAACGACAGUGAUGAAUUUAAUAGAGGAGCUUUUUCUUAUCACCUCAGUGGCAUUCAGUGAAGGCUUGAGGUGUUUAUUAUAUUUUUCUGAAGUUCUUUAAGUGUAUAGCAUGCAGAAACCUUCCCUUAGGGUGAAUUGUAAUUCCAACUUGUGCUCAGAAAUGAAGAGGAAUUCCUUCCUUCUUAAAGCAGACAUAUGGCAGUAUUUUUCUUUGGGAUCCUAUAUUUGUAGAAUAUAAACCUGAAAAUUAUAUUCUUCUUUUCUUAAAUUUAUUCUAUGAAUGAGGUCACUUUUCUCAUUUUAAAGAUAAACUUUACUGCAAGGAAAUUGUUUUUACCGGUUACACUAAGUGCACAUGAGUGAUAAAAAUGAUAUUAGGACUUUGCAAGUACAAAGUUUUAUCCUUUUUAAUUCUGCUAAGAAAUAGAGUGUGAUCUUCUCAGAACUUUCUUACCUGCUAUGGAAGUAAAGCCUGCAGUGUGAAUUUCAAAGCUAGUCUCUGCUGGCUCUGUAUCAGUGUUUUUAAUUUUUUUUUUUUAAUUAGUGCCCUCUCCCUCUCAAGGAGCUUUUUAGGUAUGUUUUCCUAAUUAGCCCUAUGAAAUAGGAAUACUACAGCUACAUUGUGAAUAUAUUUAUGUAUUUGUAUACACAUUGGUACUUUAUGCAUAAAAAAGAAAUAUUUUUUUUUCACCCUUCUGGGAUGAGAGUUUUCUCCACUGAGAAUACCCAUACACAACGCCAUAUAGUUGUGGGUUUUUGUUUUUGUGUUUGUUGACAGCAUUGCAUAGAAAGAAGGCUUGUGCUUUGGAGUCCGUCAGACUUUGGUUUUGAAUCCUGGCUUUUUGUUUGUUUGUUUAGUAAUUAUUCAACCCAAGUGAUUCACUUUCUCUCUCUGAGUCCCAAUUUUCUCAUUUAUAAGAUAGAGUCAUGAUUCCAGGGUAAAAUCUUAGAAGCUUAAUGAGAUAAUGUGUAUGAAAACUGCUAGCACAGGGCUAAAAACUGAAUAAAUGUUAGCUUUAAGAAUUCAUAGAAUACAGUCACUAUUAUUGUCCUAACAUGGAUUUCUGACACUUUUUAUCAUUUCCUCUGUCUACACACUAAAGAAGAAGAAUUCUUUAUUAGGGUAAUAUUUGUGCAUUUGCUGUAUGACAAGUACUGUACUGAAAUUUCUCUAUGUAUUAUUUCAUUUACUUCUCACAACAGUCCUAUAAUGUAGCUAUGCCCUACUUUUUAGCUGAGAGAUCUGUGGUUUUCCAAUAUUCUUAACUUGCUCAAGGUCACACAGCUUCUAGGUGCUUAAACAGAAGCAGUAACAGCAGAUGUUGCAGAUUCUGACUUGGGUUGUUGGGAAAUGAAGACCAUACUCUAUAUAUUAAUUUAAUGCCCACCUAAUGUAAAUUCUGUUUGAGUAAUCAUCAGUAUUCUUCUUGAGAAUAUUAUGAACAGUUAAAAUCAUGACCUGAACUUGGGGUUAAAAAUAGCUUUUCUCUGGUAAUAAACCGACUGUCCUUUUUUGGUGCCAGUUUUCUCAUCUGCAGAAAGAAUAUCAUUGAACAUAACUAAAUAAAUUUUUACUAAACACUUCUUCCUGUUUACAGGUACCAUGCUACUUAUUGCAGGUAAUGAAAUAACAGGUGACAAACUGCUUUGCAAUGCGUUAAGCACUGGGUAAAUACAGUCCUACAUAAUGGGGAAAUGCUAUACUUGGAGAAAAAUAUUUUCUAAAAUGAUGUAAUUUUCCUUCCUAAGAGCACUUCAGUUAAUAAUUAAGGACACUGGAGUCAUAAUCGUAAUUUCAUUUAUAACUUCAUAGUUUCAUUUAGCCCAAGUUGUAGAAAGUUUAAAUUAAUACUGAUUCACCUUUGGGUGAAUUCUAAGGUCAUAAGCCAUUGCCUUUAUUUAUUUAUUUAUUUUUCUGGAUCUUUUUUUUAGGGCCGCACUCACAGCAUAUGGAGGUUCCUAGGUUAGGGGUCGAUUGGGAGCUGUAGCCACUGGCCUGCGCCACAGCCACAGAAAUGCCAGUUCCAAGCCGCAUCUGCCACCUACACCACAGCUCACAGGAAGGACAGAUCCUUAACCCACUGAACAAGGCCAGGGACUGAACCUGCAUCCUCGUGGAUACUGGUCAGAUUCGUUUCUGCUGAGCCAUGACAGGAACUCCAACCAUUGCCUUUAUACUUUGAAACUAUAAUAGUCUUAUUCAUUUACUGAGGAAUCAUUUCUUUAGAAUUAUUUUUCUCGUAUUUCUGUCUUUUGUGCUGGUUUUCUUUUAAAACACCAACCUCACACCCUUUCUUCUAGAGUCAUAUACAUGUGCCCAUCCAUGUUCUAAGAAUAAGCUUUUACUUCUGUCAUCCAGACAUUCUGGGUCCCUUUAAAAUUUUUGAUCUUCAUUUAUCGCUCAUAUUGAAAAUGGGAUUUUUCUGCAACAUUUGAAAAUGAUAGAAUUAGUGGGAAAUGGUGAAAGAAAAUGACUAAAACAUUUGGAGGACCCAUGAUUUAUGUUAUGAUUAUAGUCUUUCCGAACAAAUUCUCUGGUGCUGAGGGAUCCGUUAAAGAAAUUGAUUGGGUAAAAUGCUGUAAAAUCUCUGGUGGAAACAGCUGUUUGUAAAUUACAUAUCCAUGUGGCAGUUCAAUUUGUGUUAUAUCUGUAGUAUUUUGUUGAUUUGGAAACCAGGUACACUUAUUAGUCACAUUAGCUUCAGUUACUUUCCUAGCAUCUUCUCUAAUUUUCUUUGUAAUGCAGACCAAGAGUAGAGUUCAAGGACUUGCUUGGGAUGGUGGAGAGAGGAGGAAAAUGGAGACCCAGGGUGGUGAGGGGACAGGGGUAAUGGGUAGUUUUGAGAAGAAAGACUAUGUGUAAAAAUCAAGCUAUAAAUUUUUUUUGGCUAUUCAUCAACUUAACCAAUUAUUUGCUGUUUUAUUCAACUCAAAAUAGUGCAUUCAAUCUUGAAAGUAAACAUUAGCUCUUCUAAAUGAAAUUUUAAGUGCAACAGACUAGACAUUGAAAAGCAUUUCUAUAGUUAAAGUUUAUUUUACUCUCUGUGCUCAGAUGAUGAUACCUUUCCUGUGAUGCAGAAGUGCUUACAUCUCUGUUACCUUUAAUGUGAGCUAAGUAUAUGGCCUCGUUAACCACAUAUGUAAGCUUCACUUUUAUUUAUUUAUCUUUUGUCUUUUUAGGGCUGCAUCCCAGCAUAUGGAGUUUCCCAGGCUAGGGGUCAGCUUCACUUUUCUGAAAUUCAACUUACUUAUCUACAAAAUGAGAGUGAACGCCACUUCUACUGCUGAAAUUAUAUAAUACAGUCAUCAUAUUUAAAUAAUCAAUGAUCGAAUCAUUUAAAAUUAAGCAUGGUGGGAUUGAAAUGCUUCAGAAUCCUCUCAAAUCUGUCAAAUUGUAUUUGAACAUUUUGAUACAUUUUAAAUCUUUCAUUUUUCCUUCGAAGAAAUCAGGAUAAUUUUUAUUGUUAAAUUUUUAUUGUUAAAUUUUAUUGUUAAUUUUUAUUGAUAUUUUUUAUUGUUAAACUUGUGACAUAGACAGGCAGAAUAUAAUUCAUGUCUCCUAUUUUUUCUUUAACUUGCUUCAUAGUCAGUAUGUUUGUCAUUGUGAAACUGUACUGUAUAUGCAAUUGGUCAUGUUUCUAUAUUAACUGUCUUACCAAACUUUUCCCCCUCAAGGAGGUGUUGCUGUUAUUAUAAUAAUUGUUGCCCUAAUUCUAGCCAAAGGUUUCUGGCACUAUGGAAAAUCAGGGUGAGCAGAAAUUCUGAUGAUUUUAAAAAAUUUAUUCUUAGCUUCCUUCCAGUAAAACCUGAUACAUGCCAGUAGAUAACUUUCUUAUGUUAAUUGUAUUUUUUGACUAUCUCUUUAUUCCUUUUGUCUAUGAUUACUAUUCUGGUUGAACAGGCUUGAUGUCUUUUAAAAGUUUUCAAAAAAUGUCUCAAUAUUAAGUCAUCUGAAAACCAAAGUCUCAUUUGGCAAUCUGCUAAUCAACUCACCUCUUUUUCCUACUCAGUACGUUUUAUGAGAGUGACUGUGUGUCAUACAGAAGCAAAAAGAAAAUCUAGGAGAAGAACCUCUAACAUAUUGUUAAACUGCCUGUGACUGGGCCUAUUACUAAAUUGCCUUUUAUUUUAAGCAUCCUGGUCUAGCCAAAGUCAGCCCAGUGUUGAACCACUAAAUGGUUCAGGUUUUUACUAAAAAUAUUGGACCAUUAGGUCCUGGUUUUAUUUAUUUAUUUUUGUAGUAAAUAGUUUUUACAGAUUUGCUCCCGAUAACAUAUGCUAGAUGCUAUAAUAGCAAAUGAAAUAUAAGGAGAAAUAUAACUUUCUCUUUAGAUUUUUCAGAAACUUUUUAAGAAUGCAAUUUAGAGCCCAGUAUAAACAGACAGAAUUCUAAGUCAUAUAAAGUGAGUUAAGUUGGUGCAAAUGCCUCAGCAAAAUUACUCUGAAAAAAAGAGUAAACCACCAGUCUUAUGCACUUCCUUAUAUUUGGUCUCGCUCUCCUUUGGAAUUGGAGCAUUAUUGAUUCACUCUGGGGCUCCUUGGCUGACGUGGGUGGAGUAUGAGGUGGGUGAGGAGUUUACAGGCAGCUGUGUCUUGGUUAUCAUCAGGUUUUUUUUAGCUACUUUGGUAGAAUGAUAUUUGGCCAUGAUAUUUUUAAUAGGAUCAAAAGUGCUGACAUAGAGAGGAGGGAAGAUUUGCUUUGUAUUUUAUUAUGGUUUUGCAGUAAAACCAAUUCUUCUGUUUCUGAAUCAGAGGAAAUUCAUGCAAACCCCCGAGAAAGAUUUUGUCUUUUUCAUGGGUACUUAAAAAUAUCCCACUAGCCUUAAUUUUGGAAGUAUAAGCUGUUGAGGGUAGGAGCUAAAUUUAUAUAUUCCUGUUAUUCUCCCUACUUCUUACUGAUUUUAUUAAAAAUUUGAUCUUAAUGAGAUAGGGGAAAGUUAAUGGGUGUGAAGGUGAUAAUGUAUACUUUUACCCAGUGAUCCUUUGUGUUUACCUAUCAAAGGAUUUGUUUAUGCCUUUUAGAAGUGUUGGGUGUAUACGAUAAAUUUUAGUUUUAAAUAUGAAUGUGAUAGUAAGCAUUGCUAAUAUUGCUUUUUUAUUGAAAUUAAGCUUUUAUUUUUCAAUUAGUAUUUUCUUCUCCACUAUUCAGCUCUUACCACACUCAUGAGAACAACAAAGCCGUUAAUGUUGCAUUUUAUAAUUUACCUGCGACUGGCGAUGCCGCAGAUGUAAGACCUGGUAAUUAACAAAAGGACGUGCAUGUGUAACACUGACAGUUUUGCUUAUGGUGCUAGUAACCAUUGGCUAGCUGACUUAGCCAAAGAAGAGUUAAGAAGAAAGUGCACACAAGUACACAGAAUAUUUUCAGUUUCUUAGAACUUUCAGGUGGAGUGGACAUAGUUUGUGGAUAGUGUUCUUCGUUUUGCAUGUUUUCAUUGUCUCUAAGGUACAUAGGAAUGUCACAGAACCAAAGAGAAACAAAUCUAUCCUGAAAUUACAUCCUCAACACUCCUAAGACUCUUGAAAAUAGAACAGCUCAUAAGAUUGAGAGCAAUUACUUUCCAAAAAGGGUGAGAAAAUGGAGAGAUUUGUUCAUGGUUAGAAUAUAAGAAAAAAGAAAACAAAAAGGUGAUUUUUCCCACCAAAUGUGUAAUGUUAUUUUUAUUAAUAAAGGAAAUAAAAAAAUUAAAAACAUUGAAUAUUGAAAACAGAUUCCCCACCCCCCCAAAAAAAACCAACAAAACUAAAACCAGUCUCAUCUAAGGAAAAUUGAUGAAGAGAGAUGAAAUACAUUAUAAAAUGGUCUUUCUUGAAAAGCAUUUUCAUCUUUUCUUAUUUCAUUAAAAUGAGUCCAAAUCAGUUGGCAACAUAUUUUAAAAGAAAAACAUGAUAAUGACCCAAGAAUAUUGAGUUUCUUGGGCUACUGGCAAAGGAGGAGUACAAAAUGACGGCAUAAUUCUUCUUUUGUCCCCACACACAAAUAGUGAAUUACCCCCUUACUUAUCAUUUUGUUCUUAGGGUAUUUUUUUGAGGGGGGUUAGGAGAAGCCCUGUGAAAGGGCAAAAGGUAUCUUUAUUGACUUAAUAUCUUUAAAAGUAUCCAGAGAUAUUGUAAUAUCAAUAUAAGAAAAGAUUCUAUAUUUCUGAAGUGAGAUGUUCAUAGCCAAAUUGUAAAUCUUAUUCUUUUGUAAUAUUAAGAUUAACUUAUAUUUAUUUAUGUCAGUAAAUACAUUAGUUGUACUUGUAUACCAAAAACGUUCAAGAAGAUAUGUAAAGAAAAAUUUAUUUUCCCUAAAUAGGAAUAAAUAAUUGAUUUUUGUCUCAUGUGA
Sus scrofa (pig) is the source of this 9287-nucleotide non-coding RNA. Lineage: Eukaryota; Metazoa; Chordata; Mammalia; Artiodactyla; Suidae. The record is from RefSeq and is a predicted model, not a curated record.